Molecule: ribosomal RNA, 462 nt
Filed under: uncultured bacterium
Lineage: Bacteria
Description: bacterial SSU rRNA
Rfam family: Bacterial small subunit ribosomal RNA
Source: RNAcentral
AGAGUUUGAUCAUGGCUCAGAGUGAACGCUGGCGGCGUGCUUAACACAUGCAAGUCGAACGAGAACGGCUCUAGUUUACUAGAGUGUCAGCUAAGUGGCGCACGGGUGAGUAAUAUAUAGGUAAUGUGCCUUAGAGAAGGGAAUAAUUGUUGGAAACGACUUGUAAUGCCCUAUAUGCCCUUAAUACAUAAGUAUGCAGGGGAAAUAUUUAUAGCUCUAAGAUCAGCCUGUACGGUAUCAGCUUGUUGGUGAGGUAAUGGCUCACCAAGGCUAUGACAUCUAACUGGUCUGAGAGGAUGAUCAGUCACACUGGAACUGAGACACGGUCCAGACUCCUUCGGGAGGCAGCAGUGGGGAAUAUUGCACAAUGGACGAAAGUCUGAUGCAGCAACGCCGCGUGGAGGAUGACACAUUUAGGUGCGUAAACUCCUUUUAUAUACCAAGAUGAUGACGGUAGUAUAU